GUUAUAUGGUCAAGCGAAUAAGCGUAUAUGGUGGAUGCCUAGGCAGUUAGAGGCGAUGAAGGACGUUGUAGUCUGCGAUAAGCUCGGGCGAGCUGACAAACAAGCACUUGUAACCCGAGAUUUCCGAAUGGGGAAACCCGGCCCUUUGGGUCAUCGUGCACUGAAUACAUAGGUGCACGAAGCGAACCCGGUGAACUGAACCAUCUAAGUAACCGGAGGAAAAGAAAUCAACCGAGAUUCCCUUAGUAGCGGCGAGCGAAAGGGGAACAGCCAGCAAUCUUUAUGUUUUAUGUUAGGGGAACGGUCUGGAAAGUCCGGCGAUAGAAGGUGAUAGCCCUGUACCCGAAAACAUUUAACAAGAACUAAGUUUGCAACAAGUAGGUCGGAGCACGAGAAACUCUGACUGAACAUGGGGGGACCAUCCUCCAAGGCUAAAUACUCCUAACUGACCGAUAGUGAACUAGUACCGUGAGGGAAAGGCGAAAAGAACCCCGGAGAGGGGAGUGAAAUAGAUCCUGAAACCGUAUACGUACAAGCAGUAGGAGCACCUUCGUGGUGUGACUGCGUACCUUUUGUAUAAUGGGUCAGCGACUUAAGUUCAGUAGCAAGCUUAACCGUUUAGGGGAGGCGUAGGGAAACCGAGUCUUAAUAGGGCGAUUUAGUUGCUGGGCUUAGACCCGAAACCAGGCGAUCUAUCCAUGGCCAGUGUGAAGGUUGAGUAACAUCAACUGGAGGCGCGAACCCACCUAUGUUGAAAAAUGGGGGGAUGAGCUGUGGAUCGGAGUGAAAGGCUAAUCAAGCCUGGAGAUAGCUGGUUCUCCGCGAAAUCUAUUUAGGUAGAGCGUCAUGUAUCACCAUAGGGGGUAGAGCACUGUCUCGGCUAGGGGCCCAUCCCGGGUUACCAACUCGAUGCAAACUCCGAAUACCUAUGAGUGCAAUCAUGGCAGACACACGGCGGGUGCUAACGUCCGUCGUGGAGAGGGAAACAACCCAGACCGCCAGCUAAGGUCCCCAAAUCACAGUUAAGUGGGAAACGAUGUGGGAAGGCACAGACAGCUAGGAGGUUGGCUUAGAAGCAGCCAUCCUUUAAAGAAAGCGUAAUAGCUCACUAGUCGAGUCGGCCUGCGCGGAAGAUUUAACGGGGCUCAAACUGUGUACCGAAGCUGCGGGUGCUCCUUUUCUUCGGAAAGGGGGCGCGGUAGCGGAGCGUUCUGUAAGCCGUUGAAGGUGUGCUGUAAGGCAUGCUGGAGGUAUCAGAAGUGCGAAUGCUGACAUGAGUAACGAUAAGGGGGGUGAAAAACCCCCCCGCCGGAAGACCAAGGUUUCCUGCGCAACGCUAAU
This 1341-nucleotide ribosomal RNA is filed under the name Gammaproteobacteria bacterium. Its description in RNAcentral is "partial 23S ribosomal RNA". It matches the Rfam family "Bacterial large subunit ribosomal RNA", at positions 1 to 1369 of the family's 2925-position model. The record is from RNAcentral. Lineage: Bacteria; Pseudomonadati; Pseudomonadota; Gammaproteobacteria.